RNAcentral lists this ribosomal RNA (1277 nucleotides) under uncultured bacterium. RNAcentral describes it as "partial 16S ribosomal RNA". It matches the Rfam family "Bacterial small subunit ribosomal RNA", at positions 103 to 1399 of the family's 1533-position model. The record is from RNAcentral.
CGGGUGAGUAACGCGUGAGCAAUCUGCCUUGGAGUGGGGAAUAACGGCUGGAAACAGCCGCUAAUACCGCAUGAUGCAGCUGCGAGGCAUCUCCCUGGCUGUCAAAGAUUUAUCGCUCUGAGACGAGCCCGCGUCUGAUUAGCUAGUUGGUGGGGUAACGGCCUACCAAGGCGACGAUCAGUAGCUGGUCUGAGAGGAUGAUCAGCCACACUGGGACUGAGACACGGCCCAGACUCCUACGGGAGGCAGCAGUGGGGAAUAUUGGACAAUGGGCGCAAGCCUGAUCCAGCCAUGCCGCGUGAGUGAUGAAGGCCUUAGGGUUGUAAAGCUCUUUUAUCCGGGACGAUAAUGACGGUACCGGAGGAAUAAGCACCGGCUAACUUCGUGCCAGCAGCCGCGGUAAUACGAAGGGGGCUAGCGUUGCUCGGAAUCACUGGGCGUAAAGGGCACGUAGGCGGCGUUUUAAGUCGGGGGUGAAAGCCUGUGGCUCAACCACAGAAUGGCCUUCGAUACUGGGACGCUUGAGUAUGGUAGAGGUUGGUGGAACUUUGAGUGUAGAGGUGAAAUUCGUAGAUAUUCGCAAGAACACCGGUGGCGAAGGCGCCCAACUGGACCAUUACUGACGCUGAGGCGCGAAAGCGUGGGGAGCAAACAGGAUUAGAUACCCUGGUAGUCCACGCCGUAAACGAUUAAUGCCUGCUGCUGGGGUGCUUGCCCCCGCAGUAGCGCAGCUAAGGCUUUGAGCAUUCAGCCUGGGGAGUACGGUGGCAAGAUUAAAACUCAAAGAAAUGGUCGGGGGCCCGCACAAGCGGUGGAGCAUGUGGUUUAAUUGGAAGCAACGGGCAGAACCUUACCAUCCUUUGACAUGGCGUGUUAGCCAGAGAGAUUUGGGGUCCCCUUGGGGGGCGCGCACACAGGUGCUGCAUGGCGGUGGUCAGCUGGUGUCGUGAGAUGUUGGGUUAAGUCCCCUAUCGAGCGCAACCCUUGUCCUUGGUUGCCAUCAGUCAGUUGGGCCCUUUAGGGAGAUUACCGGGGAUAAGCCCCGAGGAAGGUGUGGAUGACGUCAAGUCAUCAUGGCCCUUACGGGAGGGGCUACACACGUGCUACAAUGGCGGUGACAGUGGGAGGCGAGGGAGCGAUGUGGAGCAAAUCCCCAAAAGCCGUCUCAGUUUGGACUGCACUCUGCAACUUGAGUGCAGGAAGGCGGAAUCGCUAGUAAUCGUGGAUCAGCAUGCCACGGUGAUUAAGGUUCCGGGCCUUGCACACACCGCCCGUCA